ACCGGAAUGGAGCCGGAAAGCAUCAGGAUGAUGCAGCUUCAGGAUGAAGAUAGGGAUGCGCUCAGCGAAGAGCGAUGGAGGGCGUCAGGAGAUGCUUAGGAUGUUUCAGGAUUGAAAUCAAGGACACCUCCAGGACGGAGACUGAGAGCUGACAAAGGACUGUCGGUGGGUUAGGAAGACUGAGGAACCGCAUUAGGAUGAUGCUAUAGGAAAACGCAAGGAUCACUCGGCCAGGAUGAGCCACAGGAAAAGUUUUCAGGGAUUGAGCAGGGAGCACACUGUGUAGCGGGAUAGCUAUAAAACGAACCGGGGGCACGGGUAACGCGGUGCCCCCAACUUUUUGC
Molecule: non-coding RNA, 344 nt
Filed under: Serratia symbiotica str. Tucson
Lineage: Bacteria; Pseudomonadati; Pseudomonadota; Gammaproteobacteria; Enterobacterales; Yersiniaceae
Source: RNAcentral